AUUGAACGCUGGCGGCAGGCUUAACACAUGCAAGUCGAGCGGAGAUGAGGUGCUUGCACCUUAUCUUAGCGGCGGACGGGUGAGUAAUGCAUAGGAAUCUGCCUAUUAGUGGGGGACAACAUUCCGAAAGGAAUGCUAAUACCGCAUACGUCCUACGGGAGAAAGCAGGGGAUCUUCGGACCUUGCGCUAAUAGAUGAGCCUAAGUCGGAUUAGCUAGUUGGUGGGGUAAAGGCCUACCAAGGCGACGAUCUGUAGCGGGUCUGAGAGGAUGAGCCGCCACACUGGGACUGAGACACGGCCCAGACUCCUACGGGAGGCAGCAGUGGGGAAUAUUGGCCAAUGGGUGAAACCCUGAUCCAGCCAUGCCGCGUGUGUGAAGAAGGCCUUAUGGUUGUAAAGCACUUUAAGCGAGGAGGAGGCUACUGAGACUAAUACUCUUGGAUAGUGGACGUUACUCGCAGAAUAAGCACCGGCUCACUCUGUGCCAGCCGCCGCGGUAA
Molecule: ribosomal RNA, 501 nt
Filed under: uncultured bacterium
Lineage: Bacteria
Description: partial 16S ribosomal RNA
Rfam family: Bacterial small subunit ribosomal RNA
Source: RNAcentral